CGGGUGGUGACCGCGGGGUACUGGGCGUUUUGCAUAGUCCACUCGUUUUGCUCCGUUCUCCCUCGUCCGGACUCGGAUUUGGUCGCCGUUUGCGCUCACGGAUUCCUCUCGAGACGUACUUCAAUCUCAUAUCUUCAAAAUCCUCCAAUUAAUCAUUGAUGUUUCCUGAAAUUACUCCAAAACUACACCAAGAUAUCAAAUCUUCAUAAAACUAAAUAUUCGGGCACAAACAAGC
RNAcentral lists this long non-coding RNA (235 nucleotides) under Salvia miltiorrhiza (redroot sage). Its description in RNAcentral is "long non-coding RNA (SMIL_LNC004203)". Lineage: Eukaryota; Viridiplantae; Streptophyta; Magnoliopsida; Lamiales; Lamiaceae. The record is from RNAcentral.